RNAcentral lists this ribosomal RNA (501 nucleotides) under uncultured bacterium. Its description in RNAcentral is "partial 16S ribosomal RNA". It matches the Rfam family "Bacterial small subunit ribosomal RNA", at positions 30 to 523 of the family's 1533-position model. The record is from RNAcentral.
AUUGAACGCUGGCGGCAGGCUUAACACAUGCAAGUCGAGCGGAGAUGAGGUGCUUGCACCUUAUCUUAGCGGCGGACGGGUGAGUAAUGCUUAGGAAUCUGCCUAUUAGUGGGGGACAACAUUCCGAAAGGAAUGCUAAUACCGCAUACGUCCUACGGGAGAAAGCAGGGGAUCUUCGGACCUUGCGCUAAUAGAUGAGCCUAAGUCGGAUUAGCUAGUUGGUGGGGUAAAGGCCUACCAAGGCGACGAUCUGUAGCGGGUCUGAGAGGAUGAACCGCCACACUGGGACUGGGACACGGCCCAGAAUCCUACGGGAGGCAGCAGUGGGGAAUAGUGGACAAUGGGGGAAACCCUGAUCCAGCCAUGCCGCGUGUGUGAAGAAGGCCUUAUGGUUGUAAAGCACUUUAAGCGAGGAGGAGGCUACUGAGACUAAUACUCUUGGAUAGUGGACGUUACUCGCAGAAUAAGCACCGGCUAACUCUGUGCCAGCCGCCGCCGUAA